RNAcentral lists this long non-coding RNA (1261 nucleotides) under Sus scrofa (pig). Its description in RNAcentral is "lncRNA (ENSSSCG00030048092.1)". Lineage: Eukaryota; Metazoa; Chordata; Mammalia; Artiodactyla; Suidae. The record is from RNAcentral.
UUAAGGCGAAGAAAUGCAGGAAUCAAAGCUGGGAGGGCCUGGCCAACGAGGGGCACCCAGGCAGUCCGCAAAGGCCAGGCUCCCGGGAGAAGCUAGCAGCAAUCCUAUUUCAGUGAAGUGCGAUUCUCUUCUCAGCAGGUAAUUUGGAGAAACAGAAAACUAUAAACAGAAGAAAAAAAUUGAGAUAAUCACUAUUAAAGCUUCCUUUUAUGCUCUCUUUUUGGAUAAAUAAAUCUAUAGAAUUAUUCCAUCUAAAGAUGGGUGCCCUCAGGAUGUGGACGUCUAAAUGAUGGGCCCAACUCUAUGCAAGAGCCACAGCAGAGCCACAAAUCCCCCACUGGUCCAUGGAUGACCAGCCUGCCUUGCCAGCAUUCCCGUGCAGAGGUUGGAAUGAGAAAAGACUGGGGUGUUAUCAUCACCCCUUCACACAUCAAGUGACUAGCCCAGGAUCUUCCAGACAAGGACUGCAUACGCAACCAUUUCUCUUGACUUCAAUCUGUCACGGAAGGGGGUUGCUGAAUACCUACUGUGGGUAGAUCCUUUUCUCUGAGGGCAACUGGCGGUGACCUGUUGUGAACUGGAGAUGGGCUCUUGCCACCCGCCUCUACAAGGAUUGAAUCAUGAGCCACUGCAGCUGCUGAUCCUCAACAGCCCUGAAAGGAGCUUAGGAUGGAGAUCAGGAGUGAAGCCCUCUAUGCUCUGGGAAAACUGGCUGAACAGGUCUUCAGAUAGCUAAAUAUUUUCAGGAGAAGAUUUCAUGAGCCCAGCUCUUGCAUCUUCUCAUAUCUAGAAAAGCACUAAAAUCCUUCAUGGUGACAUCUGCUCCCCAAGACUAGCAGUGGCCUUCCUGAGACCAGCAGCAAACUUCUACUCAACGUGUGUUUGAUUACAUGUGCCUCCCUUUCACAAAAAUCCCAUAUAUACUAACACUCCCCCUACCUCUUUGGAGUGGUUUUUCAGAGCUCUCUGAAAAGCUGCCUCCCAGGCUAUAGUCCUCACUUUGCCCCAAAUAAAACCUAAUGCACAACACUCCCAUUGUGCAUUUUGUUUAAGUCAACAACAUGCUGCCCUUAGAAUCAUGAGGGACAAAGAGCAGCCACUUGUCCCACUGAGCACUUGAAACGUGGUUUGUCCUAACUGACAGGUAUUGUGAAUGUCAAACACACCCUGGGUAUAAAGACUGAGCACAAAAAAGAGAAGGCAAACUAUUUCAUUACUAUUUCCGUAUCAACUCUAUAGGAUGCUAUGGUACAUACAUUGG